UCCAGACUCCUACGGGAGGCAGCAGUGGGGGAUAUUGCACAAUGGGGGAAACCCUGAUGCAGCGACGCCGCGUGGGUGAAGAAGUAUUUCGGUAUGUAAAGCCCUAUCAGCAGGGAAGAAAGAAGACGGUACCUGACUAAGAAGCCCCGGCUAACUACGUGCCAGCAGCCGCGGUAAUACGUAGGGGGCGAGCGUUAUCCGGAUUCACUGGGUGUAAAGGGAGCGUAGACGGCCGUGCAAGCCAGGAGUGAAAGCCCGGGGCCCAACCCCGGGACUGCUCUUGGAACUGUGCGGCUGGAGUGCGGGAGGGGCAGGCGGAAUUCCUGGUGUAGCGGUGAAAUGCGUAGAUAUCAGGAGGAACACCGGCGGCGAAGGCGGCCUGCUGGACCGCGACUGACGUUGAGGCUCGAAAGCGUGGGGAGCGAACAGGAUUAGAUACCCCGGUAA
RNAcentral lists this ribosomal RNA (447 nucleotides) under uncultured bacterium. Its description in RNAcentral is "bacterial SSU rRNA". It matches the Rfam family "Bacterial small subunit ribosomal RNA", at positions 330 to 793 of the family's 1533-position model. The record is from RNAcentral.